UCUCCCACUUUAGUGAUCAAGGACAUAGUAGGCAUUUGCCUUCGUCUUUCUGUUUCUUUUAUUCUUCAAUAAAUAAUAAAAAAACAAAAAUAAGUGUAGAAAUGAUGGCGUGUGAUCUUCGAUACUUCUCUCGUUCCAAAACAAGCCCAUAACCAAGCAUGUCGGGCCCCACUUGAGACAUGGGCCAGUGGCGAUAAACAUUUUACCCCAAUGCAUGUCGGAGCGGACACUAAUGGCGGCAAUUUAUGAUUCGAUCCGUCAAAAUGGUAUGCAAACAAUCUGGUUUAAAUAAAUUUUAAUUUGACACAAAUAAAUUUAGAUCAUAAAUAAAUUAAUCAUAAACAAAUUAAUCCAUCCAGACCUAUUUACUGGACGGAUUGAAUUCAAAUUUAGGUUUUUAAUUUAUUUUAUUUAUUUUGACUAAUUUAAUAAUUGAAUCGGAUCAUAAUCGAAUCUAUUUAAUCUGUUCAAAUUAUUUUUGACUUGUUUAAUCUGAUUUGUUUAUUAAUUUAAUCUAUUUAAUCUGACUUAAUUUAUUUAAUAAAUAAAUUAUGUUAAUCGGAUUAGAUUUAAUAAAUAAAUUAUAUUUGAAUCUAAAUUUUUAAUUUAUUUAAUAAAUAAAUUAAAUUUGGAUUGACAAAUUUUUGAUCCAACGAACACUUACAAAGAUACCCCUGAUGACUCCUUAUUCCAGUCGCUAAAGCAUGCACAUGCACCAAGCAGUUAAGCUAACAAGUGAACUGUCUACGAUGGAAUGCCAAGUCUGAGGCAAAUCAUCUAGUACUGUUUUAUAUCUAAAAAAAGUGUUGCGCUGCUACUAAUGCAAUAAAUUAAUAAGUAUGUGCAGUAAAACAAAGGUAGGAAAUAAUAGUGUGAAAAUUCUAGGUACUCAUUGCUCCUAGGGACAUCCAGAAUCAAAACAUCAGCGACCAUUGAGCCCAUCAAUCACGGCCCAUACUUCUGCUUCAUUAGCUUUAUAAAAAGGAAAAAAAGAUAACAAUAUAAAAAAGAUAUAAGAAUUAAAAGAAAUAUAAGAAAAAUGAACAUAGAAAAAGGUAGGAUACUAAGAAAAAAGAAAAAAUUCAUCAAUUCUUUUGAGAACUUUCA
Molecule: long non-coding RNA, 1107 nt
Filed under: Elaeis guineensis (African oil palm)
Lineage: Eukaryota; Viridiplantae; Streptophyta; Magnoliopsida; Arecales; Arecaceae
Description: long non-coding RNA (EGUI_LNC040070)
Source: RNAcentral